Molecule: unclassified non-coding RNA, 418 nt
Filed under: fungal sp.
Lineage: Eukaryota; Fungi
Description: partial internal transcribed spacer region
Rfam family: Eukaryotic small subunit ribosomal RNA (bases 1-46)
Source: RNAcentral
AAGUCGUAACAAGGUUUCCGUAGGUGAACCUGCGGAAGGAUCAUUAAUACGCUUUUGUUUGUAACAAAACAAAACGUUUUAAACUCCAAAAGAAAUAGUGGAAAUAUAACUUCCGGAUGCGAAUGUUGGGGAACUGAGUAAAAUCGGUUCUUUGAAAAAGGGACUUCAAGUAAUUGACACUUCAGAGUAGAGCAGUGAGGUGAAAUUCUCGUUAAUGAGAGUUUGGUUCUGAAAAACAUUUGUAUCCGGUUAUCAUAAUCUGUUCUACAAACUCCAAAAUAUCAAACAAUAAACCCCAUGUACAACAACUUGAACUAAACAUUUUUUUUGUUGUCUGCUCGCACUUGUGUGAGAAGAUACUACAAAGAAAAAAACCUGAACUUAAGAACAACUCUUAACAACGGAUAUCUUGGUUCUC